GAAAUCUGGUGGAAGCCCGUAGCGGUUCUGACGUGCAAAUCGAUCGUCAAACUUGGGUAUAGGGGCGAAAGACUAAUCGAACCAUCUAGUAGCUGGUUCCCUCCGAAGUUUCCCUCAGGAUAGCUGGAGCCCGUUGCGCAGUUUUAUCAGGUAAAGCGAAUGAUUAGAGGUCUUGGGGUCGAAACGACCUCAACCUAUUCUCAAACUUUAAAUGGGUAAGACGUCCGGCUUGCUCGAGCGAAGUCGGGCCACGAAUGCCGGGGCUCCCAGUGGGCCAUUUUUGGUAAGCAGAACUGGCGAUGCGGGAUGAACCGAACGCCGGGUUAAGGUGCCCGAAUCGACGCUCAUCAGAUCCCACGAAAGGUGUUGGUUGAUCUAGACAGCAGGACGGUGGCCAUGGAAGUCGGAAUCCGCUAAGGAGUGUGUAACAACUCACCUGCCGAAUCAACUAGCCCUGAAAAUGGAUGGCGCUGAAGCGUCGUACCCAGACCCGGCCCGUCGGGCCGCGCUGUACGGUCCGACGAGUAGAAGGCGCGNCGGUGNCGGUCAGCUUCGGGCGCGAGCCCGGGUGAAGCCUCCGCCGGUGCAGAUCUUGGUGGUAGUAGCAACUAUUCAAACGAGAUCUUUGAAGACUGAAGUGGAGUAGGGUUCCAUGUGACCAGCACUUGGACAUGGGUUAGUCGAUCCUAAGGGGAGGGAGAGUUCCCCGUGGAAGGUGCAAUCGCCUCGCGGCGACGGCACCGUUCUCCCCGAAAGGGAGUCGGGUCAACAUUCCCGAACCGGGAUGCGGGUAGGCCCUCGCGGCCACGGCGGCAACGCAAGCGAACUCGGAGACGUCGGCGGGAGCCCCGGGAAGAGUUCUCUUUUCUUCUUAACGGGCCCGUCCCCUGGAAUCAGGUUGGCUGGAGAUAGGGCGUUGCGCCCGGUAAAGCGUCACACUUGUGGUGGCGUCCGGUGCGCUCCCGACGGCCCGUGAAAUCCGAGGGAGC
RNAcentral lists this ribosomal RNA (989 nucleotides) under Theonella conica. Its description in RNAcentral is "eukaryotic LSU rRNA". It matches the Rfam family "Eukaryotic large subunit ribosomal RNA", at positions 858 to 1822 of the family's 3401-position model. Lineage: Eukaryota; Metazoa; Porifera; Demospongiae; Tetractinellida; Theonellidae. The record is from RNAcentral.